CUAUGGGCCGCUGCAGUGAGGAAUAUUGCACAAUGGGGGGAACCCUGAUGCAGCAACGCCGCGUGGAGGAUGACGCACUUCGGUGUGUAAACUCCUUUUAUAUGUCAAGAAAAUGACGGUAGCAUAUGAAUAAGCACCGGCUAACUCCGUGCCAGCAGCCGCGGUAAUACGGAGGGUGCAAGCGUUACUCGGAAUCACUGGGCGUAAAGGACGCGUAGGCGGGUUGGAAAGUCAGGUGUGAAAUCCUACAGCUUAACUGUAGAACUGCACUUGAAACUUCUAAUCUAGAGUAUGGGAGGGGGAGAUGGAAUUAGUGGUGUAGGGGUAAAAUCCGUAGAUAUCACUAGGAAUACCUAAAGCGAAGGCGAUCUCCUGGAACAUUACUGACGCUAAGGCGUGAAAGCGUGGGGAGCAAACAGGAUUAGAUACCCCCGUAGUC
This 439-nucleotide ribosomal RNA is filed under the name uncultured bacterium. RNAcentral describes it as "partial 16S ribosomal RNA". It matches the Rfam family "Bacterial small subunit ribosomal RNA", at positions 339 to 795 of the family's 1533-position model. The record is from RNAcentral.